ACGAAUAAACUUGGUGGACUGUUGCUGACUCUCUUGGGAGUAUGUGCACGUCUAUCAUCUUUAUCUUUCCACCUGUGCACACUUUGUAGACUUGGAUACGCAUUGUUCUGAGGUAACUCAGCUGUGAGGAGUUGUAGGCAUUUACUUGUCAGCUCUCCUUGAGUGUCCAAGGCUAUGUCUUUCACAUACACCAAUGAAACAUUAAUAGAAUGUAUUAAAAGGUCAUUGUACCUAUAAAAACUAUA
Molecule: unclassified non-coding RNA, 245 nt
Filed under: uncultured Agaricales
Lineage: Eukaryota; Fungi; Basidiomycota; Agaricomycetes; Agaricales
Description: sequence contains ITS1
Source: RNAcentral